ACUCCUACGGGAGGCAGCAGUGGGGAAUAUUGCACAAUGGGGAAACCCUGAUGCAGCCAUGCCGCGUGUGUGAAGAAGGCCUUCGGUUGUAAAGCACUUUCAGUAGGGAGGAAGGUAGUGUAGUUAACACCUGCAUUAUUUGACGUUACCUACAGAAGAAGCACCGGCUAACUCCGUGCCAGCAGCCGCGGUAAUACGGAGGGGUGCGAGCGUUAAUCGGAAUUACUGGGCGUAAAGCGCAUGCAGGCGGCCUGUUAAGUCAGAUGUGAAAGCCCGGGGGCUUAACCUCGGAAUUGCAUUUGAAACUGGCAGGCUAGAGUCUUGUAGAGGGGGUAGAAUUUCAGGUGUAGCGGUGAAAUGCGUAGAGAUCUGAAGGAAUACCAGUGGCGAAGGCGGCCCCCUGGACAAAGACUGACGCUCAGAUGCGAAAGCGUGGGGAGCAAACAGGAUUAGAUACCCUGGUA
This 464-nucleotide ribosomal RNA is filed under the name uncultured bacterium. RNAcentral describes it as "bacterial SSU rRNA". It matches the Rfam family "Bacterial small subunit ribosomal RNA", at positions 335 to 792 of the family's 1533-position model. The record is from RNAcentral.